Molecule: ribosomal RNA, 429 nt
Filed under: Gemmatimonadota bacterium
Lineage: Bacteria; Pseudomonadati; Gemmatimonadota
Description: Gemmatimonadetes bacterium partial 16S ribosomal RNA
Rfam family: Bacterial small subunit ribosomal RNA
Source: RNAcentral
UAGGGAAUCUUCGGCAAUGGACGAAAGUCUGACCGAGCAACGCCGCGUGAGUGAAGAAGGUCUUCGGGUCGUAAAACUCUGUUGUCAGAGAAGAACAAGGACGUUAGUAACUGAACGUCCCCUGAUGGUACCUUACCAGAAAGCCCCGGCUAACUACGUGCCAGCAGCCGCGGUAAUACGUAGGUGGCAAGCGUUGUCCGGAUUUAUUGGGCGUAAAGCGAGCGCAGGCGGUUUCUUAAGUCUGAUGUGAAAGCCCCCGGCUCAACCGGGGAAGGUCAUUGGAAACUGGGAGACUUGAGUGCAGAAGAGGAGAGUGGAAUUCCAUGUGUAGCGGUGAAAUGCGUAGAUAUUUGGAGGAACACCAGUGGCGAAGGCGGCUCUCUGGUCUGUAACUGACGCUGAGGCUCGAAAGUGUGGGGAGCAAACAGG